This 86-nucleotide transfer RNA is filed under the name Candidatus Aenigmatarchaeota archaeon. RNAcentral's name for it is "tRNA-Asn". It matches the Rfam family "tRNA". From Rfam's summary of the family: Transfer RNA (tRNA) molecules are approximately 80 nucleotides in length. Their secondary structure includes four short double-helical elements and three loops (D, anti-codon, and T loops). Further hydrogen bonds mediate the characteristic L-shaped molecular structure. tRNAs have two regions of fundamental functional importance: the anti-codon, which is responsible for specific mRNA codon recognition, and the 3' end, to which the tRNAs corresponding amino acid is attached (by aminoacyl-tRNA synthetases). tRNAs cope with the degeneracy of the genetic code in two manners: having more than one tRNA (with a specific anti-codon) for a particular amino acid; and 'wobble' base-pairing, i.e. permitting non-standard base-pairing at the 3rd anti-codon position. Lineage: Archaea; Nanobdellati; Candidatus Aenigmatarchaeota. The record is from RNAcentral.
GCCUCGGUAGCUUAGCAGGUAGAUUCAAAGCCUUAAGCGUCUGGCUGUUAACCAGAAGGUCGUAGGUUCAAGUCCUACCCGAGGCG